UGGGGAAUCUUGGACAAUGGGGGCAACCCUGAUCCAGCGACGCCGCGUGGGUGAUGAAGGCCUUCGGGUUGUAAAGCCCUUUUCCCAGGGAAGAUGAUGACGGUACCUGGGGAAUAAGCACCGGCUAACUCCGUGCCAGCAGCCGCGGUAAGACGGAGGGUGCUAGCGUUGUUCGGAAUUACUGGGCGUAAAGGGCGCGUAGGCGGCUUGGAUAGUCGGGUGUGAAAGCCCGGGGCUCAACCCCGGAACGGCACUCGAUACUUUCAAGCUCGAGAUCGGAAGAGGAGAGUGGAAUACCCAGUGUAGAGGUGAAAUUCGUAGAUAUUGGGUGGAACACCGGUGGCGAAAGCGGCUCUCUGGUCCGUAUCUGACGCUGAGGCGCGAAAGCGUGGGGAGCAAACAGG
This 404-nucleotide ribosomal RNA is filed under the name uncultured Alphaproteobacteria bacterium. RNAcentral's name for it is "bacterial SSU rRNA". It matches the Rfam family "Bacterial small subunit ribosomal RNA", at positions 355 to 776 of the family's 1533-position model. Lineage: Bacteria; Pseudomonadati; Pseudomonadota; Alphaproteobacteria. The record is from RNAcentral.